This 449-nucleotide ribosomal RNA is filed under the name uncultured bacterium. RNAcentral describes it as "partial 16S ribosomal RNA". It matches the Rfam family "Bacterial small subunit ribosomal RNA", at positions 29 to 523 of the family's 1533-position model. The record is from RNAcentral.
AACGAACGCUGGCGGCAUGCCUAACACAUGCAAGUCGAACGAGAUCUUCGGGUCUAGUGGCGCACGGGUGCGUAACGCGUGGGAAUCUGCCCUUUGGUUCGGAAUAACAGUUGGAAACGACUGCUAAUACCGGAUGAUGACGAAAGUCCAAAGAUUUAUCGCCAGAGGAUGAGCCCGCGUAGGAUUAGCUAGUUGGUGUGGUAAAGGCACACCAAGGCGACGAUCCUUAGCUGGUCUGAGAGGAUGAUCAGCCACACUGGGACUGAGACACGGCCCAGACUCCUACGGGAGGCAGCAGUGGGGAAUAUUGGACAAUGGGCGAAAGCCUGAUCCAGCAAUGCCGCGUGAGUGAUGAAGGCCUUAGGGUUGUAAAGCUCUUUUACCCGGGAUGAUAAUGUCAGUACCGGGAGAAUAAGCUCCGGCUAACUCCGUGCCAGCCGCCGCAGUAA